Molecule: long non-coding RNA, 376 nt
Filed under: Medicago truncatula (barrel medic)
Lineage: Eukaryota; Viridiplantae; Streptophyta; Magnoliopsida; Fabales; Fabaceae
Description: lncRNA gene15448
Source: RNAcentral
GUUGUUUCUUUGAAGUCGUAGUUAAUUCAUUGUUUUUUGUCGGUUUUGAUCAAGAUUUCUGGAAAUUUUCCAGAUUUUCUCAUCUCUCUGUUUUUCUUUGUUAUUGAUUCACCUUCACUGAGGACCUUACUCUCAAAGAAAAUAAAUUAUAUAAACUAUCAAUAGGUUUAUAACUACGGCAUUUUCAAUUUCUGCUUUGGCACUUCUUUUCUAGGCAUGUGAAACUUCUAAAUAAGUGACUGGUUCAAGGCAUUUUGCUUUUGCUUCACCCAGUUUGUGGUGUGUAAUGCAUACAAUAUGUUUUGUUAUGAGAGUUUGUAUCUCUUUGAUGGAUUGUAAGACUUUAUUUUCGAUUGAACUUGGAAAGGAAAUUUAA